AUACUUUAAAUCACAUGAUACUAAAAUGAAAAAGUAUAAAACCACAGGGGGUUUUUUGAAGUUUUUCCUUUUAUUAAUUCAUCUAACCGGUUCGGCGAAUCAGUUUGAACCGGUUCGGUGCAAAGCUUUUGUAAUCUUAGCUCGAGUCGCAAACUUUUGUAAUCUUAGCCCGACCGGUUCCCCCCUCAAAUGAUUAAAGGUUCGACGAAACCCUAGUCUCCUCUCUCUCUUCGCCCCAUCUUCAUCCUCGACUCUCCGCCUCCGCGUGGCUCCGAAACUCUAAUUCCUCGCCCUAGCUCAUCUUCUCCUACAAGCCCUAGUCGAGGUAACAUGUCGCAGAGCAAAGCAUCACUUGGUCUAUCAUGGGCUCCCAAGGUGCCUAUCUCUUCU
Ananas comosus (pineapple) is the source of this 390-nucleotide long non-coding RNA. RefSeq lists it as uncharacterized. The record is from RefSeq and is a predicted model, not a curated record. The transcript has 2 exons. NCBI's taxonomy places the organism in Eukaryota, Viridiplantae, Streptophyta, Magnoliopsida, Poales, Bromeliaceae.